AUGUGAUCGUCUCUCGCAUAUCAAUAAGCGGAGGAAAAGAAACUAACAAGGAUUCCCCUAGUAACGGCGAGUGAAGCGGGAAGAGCUCAAAUUUGAAAUCUUAAAGAGUUUCCCUUUACGAAUUGUAGUUUAAAGAAGUGUUUUCUGUUGAGGUUUUGGUAAAAGUUCUUUGGAAUAGGACAUCAUAGAGGGUGAGAAUCCCGUAUUUGACCUUUACUUUCAACUUUGUGAUACACUUUCAAAGAGUCGGAUUGUUUGGGAAUGCAGUCCAAAAUGGGUGGUAAAUUUCAUCUAAAGCUAAAUAUUGGCGAGAGACCGAUAGCGAACAAGUACCGUGAGGGAAAGAUGAAAAGAACUUUGAAAAGAGAGUUAAGCAGUACGUGAAAUUGUCAAAAGGGAAGCGUUUGACACCAGUGUUGUUUUUCUGAAAAUCAAUUAAAGAACUGUUUAUGCUAAGUUGUUUAGACUUUAUCAGCUAACUGUUUAGUUUUGAGCUUUUCUUUAAUGCACUUUUCAGUUAACAAGUCAACAUCAAUUUCUUUUGCUGUAAAAAAGCUUGAGGAAGGUGGCUUGAGAUUCGUCUUAAGUGUUUAUAGCCUCUUGCCUAUGCAGUCGGAGAGAUUGAGGUCUGCAGCGUAGAUCCUUCGGGGCUAAAUGCAUUUGUGCUAAGUUGUAGCAUUUUAUAGACAACUUGUUGACUAUGAUUUGUCUUGUAGCUUACUCGCUUAUGUUUAUUUUACCUACGCUUAGGAUGUUGAGUAGCGACAUACGCAC
RNAcentral lists this ribosomal RNA (774 nucleotides) under uncultured Neocallimastigales. Its description in RNAcentral is "partial large subunit ribosomal RNA". It matches the Rfam family "Eukaryotic large subunit ribosomal RNA", at positions 24 to 649 of the family's 3401-position model. Lineage: Eukaryota; Fungi; Neocallimastigomycota; Neocallimastigomycetes; Neocallimastigales. The record is from RNAcentral.